Molecule: ribosomal RNA, 254 nt
Filed under: uncultured bacterium
Lineage: Bacteria
Description: partial 16S ribosomal RNA
Rfam family: Bacterial small subunit ribosomal RNA
Source: RNAcentral
UACGUAGGGUGCGAGCGUUGUCCGAAAUUAUUGGGCGUAAAGAGCUCGUAGGCGGUGUGUCACGUCGGCCGUGAAAACCUGCAGCUUAACUGUGGGCGUGCGGUCGAUACGGGCAUCACUGGAGUUCGGCAGGGGAGACUGGAAUUCCUGGUGUAGCGGUGAAAUGCGCAGAUAUCAGGAGGAACACCGGUGGCGAAGGCGGGUCUCUGGGCCGAUACUGACGCUGAGGAGCGAAAGCGUGGGGAGCAGACAGG